RNAcentral lists this ribosomal RNA (890 nucleotides) under uncultured bacterium. Its description in RNAcentral is "bacterial SSU rRNA". It matches the Rfam family "Bacterial small subunit ribosomal RNA", at positions 17 to 906 of the family's 1533-position model. The record is from RNAcentral.
UUAUGGCUCAGAAUCAACGCGGGCGGCGUGCCUAACACAUGCAAGUCGAACGAGAAAGUGGGGGCAACCCUGCGAGUACAGUGGCAGACGGGUGAGUAACACGUGAACAACCUACCCUUGAGUGGGGAAUAACACCGCGAAAGCGGUGCUAAUACCGCAUAACAUCUUUGGGUUGCAUGACCUGGAGAUCAAAAGCGCAAGUUGCUUGAGGAGGGGUUCGCGGCUGAUUAGCUAGUUGGUGAGGUAACGGCCCACCAAGGCAACGAUCAGUAGCCGGCCUGAGAGGGCGGACGGCCACACUGGAACUGAGACACGGUCCAGACUCCUACGGGAGGCAGCAGUGGGGAAUUUUGCGCAAUGGACGAAAGUCUGACGCAGCAACGCCGCGUGGAGGAUGAAGGCCUUCGGGUCGUAAACUCCUGUCGAUGGGGACGAAGGCCUCGCGAGAGGUUUGACUGUACCCGUUGAGGAAGCCACGGCUAACUCCGUGCCAGCAGCCGCGGUAAUACGGAGGUGGCAAGCGUUGUUCGGAAUUACUGGGCGUAAAGGGCGCGUAGGCGGCGGAACAAGUCAGAUGUGAAAGCCCCGGGCUUAACUCGGGAAUUGCAUCUGAAACUGUUUAGCUUGAGUUCUGGAGGGGAUGGUGGAAUUCCCAGUGUAGCGGUGAAAUGCGUAGAUAUUGGGAGGAACACCUGCGGCGAAGGCGGCCAUCUGGACAGAGACUGACGCUGAGGCGCGAAAGCUAGGGGAGCGAACGGGAUUAGAUACCCCGGUAGUCCUAGCCGUAAACGAUGGGCACUUGGUGUUGGGGGUAUUGAGUCCCUCGGUGCCGGAGCUAACGCGAUAAGUGCCCCGCCUGGGGAGUACGGUCGCAAGACUGAAACUCAAAU